UGGGGAAUUUUGGACAAUGGGCGAAAGCCUGAUCCAGCAAUGCCGCGUGUGUGAAGAAGGCCUUCGGGUUGUAAAGCACUUUUGUCCGGAAAGAAAUCCGCCUGGCUAAUACCCGGGCGGGAUGACGGUACCGGAAGAAUAAGCACCGGCUAACUACGUGCCAGCAGCCGCGGUAAUACGUAGGGUGCGAGCGUUAAUCGGAAUUACUGGGCGUAAAGCGUGCGCAGGCGGUUAUGCAAGACAGGUGUGAAAUCCCCGGGCUCAACCUGGGAACUGCACUUGUGACUGCAAGACUAGAGUGCGUCAGAGGGAGGUGGAAUUCCGCGUGUAGCAGUGAAAUGCGUAGAGAUGCGGAGGAACACCGAUGGCGAAGGCAGCCUCCUGGGAUGACACUGACGCUCAUGCACGAAAGCGUGGGGAGCAAACA
This 427-nucleotide ribosomal RNA is filed under the name uncultured bacterium. RNAcentral's name for it is "bacterial SSU rRNA". It matches the Rfam family "Bacterial small subunit ribosomal RNA", at positions 355 to 774 of the family's 1533-position model. The record is from RNAcentral.